Molecule: long non-coding RNA, 150 nt
Organism: Rhincodon typus (whale shark)
Lineage: Eukaryota; Metazoa; Chordata; Chondrichthyes; Orectolobiformes; Rhincodontidae
Exons: 3
Source: RefSeq, a predicted model, not a curated record
AUCUCUGACUCCAGCAUCGGCAAUUCUUAUUAUGUCUGAGUAAUCAAGAUGAAGCGUCAGCCAGAUAAAGGAGAACAAAAGGAUUGGAGGUGUGCUAUACAUUGGUCUGAGAUGGCUUCUGUUCCGUCGCAAUGUAGCACAAUAAUCAGC